AGUGAACGCUGGCGGUAGGCCUAACACAUGCAAGUCGAACGGCAGCACAGUAAGAGCUUGCUCUUACGGGUGGCGAGUGGCGGACGGGUGAGGAAUACAUCGGAAUCUACUUUUUCGUGGGGGAUAACGUAGGGAAACUUACGCUAAUACCGCAUACGACCUACGGGUGAAAGCAGGGGGUCUUCGGACCUUGCGCGAUUGAAUGAGCCGAUGUCGGAUUAGCUAGUUGGCGGGGUAAAGGCCCACCAAGGCGACGAUCCGUAGCUGGUCUGAGAGGAUGAUCAGCCACACUGGAACUGAGACACGGUCCAGACUCCUACGGGAGGCAGCAGUGGGGAAUAUUGGACAAUGGGCGCAAGCCUGAUCCAGCCAUACCGCGUGGGUGAAGAAGGCCUUCGGGUUGUAAAGCCCUUUUGUUGGGAAAGAAAAGCAGCAAGUUAAUACCCCGCUGUUCUGACGGUACCCAAAGAAUAAGCACCGGCUAACUUCGUG
This 492-nucleotide ribosomal RNA is filed under the name uncultured bacterium. RNAcentral's name for it is "partial 16S ribosomal RNA". It matches the Rfam family "Bacterial small subunit ribosomal RNA", at positions 29 to 507 of the family's 1533-position model. The record is from RNAcentral.